UACGAAGGGGGCUAGCGUUGCUCGGAAUGACUGGGCGUAAAGGGCGCGUAGGCGGUUUGUACAGUCAGAUGUGAAAUUCCUGGGCUCAACCUGGGGGCUGCAUUUGAUACGUGCAGGCUUGAGUGUGGAAGAGGGUCGUGGAAUUCCCAGUGUAGAGGUGAAAUUCGUAGAUAUUGGGAAGAACACCGGUGGCGAAGGCGGCGACCUGGUCCAUUACUGACGCUGAGGUGCGAAAGCGUGGGGAGCAAACAGG
RNAcentral lists this ribosomal RNA (253 nucleotides) under uncultured bacterium. RNAcentral describes it as "partial 16S ribosomal RNA". It matches the Rfam family "Bacterial small subunit ribosomal RNA", at positions 524 to 776 of the family's 1533-position model. The record is from RNAcentral.